Molecule: unclassified non-coding RNA, 5365 nt
Filed under: Leishmania donovani
Lineage: Eukaryota; Euglenozoa; Kinetoplastea; Trypanosomatida; Trypanosomatidae
Description: gene:LdHU3.05.0860(CDS-product:hypothetical_prote in_conserved)
Source: RNAcentral
CUGUGCUUUGGGCCGUCAUUAACACAUAUAAAGAGUUGCCCCUCCCCCCCCCAGUCAUGCAGUCUGCUGCUGCUGCUGCUGCUCCGUUCACCAUCACCGUUGGGGCAGCGCUCCUCCCAAUGAACGACUCGCGAGCAGGAGUGGUACUGGCUGCGUCUCCGCAGGGCCACUAUCAGCGGCAGACGCGUCCUGCCGCGACGUCGCCGUCCCCGCCCAUGUCCACGUGCCGCCGCCUGAGCUACGACAGUUCAAAGACGGGCAGCAACUCGCGAAGCCGCACGCGGGCGUCGCUGUCAUCCGUUGCGUCACCCCACUCGUUCUCCCACACGCUAUCAGAGGAGCAUCAGCAGCACCAUUUCUGGCAGAGAUGCGUGACCGUCACAGAGGUGGCCACCGUAACUGCUAGCCGCCGUUCCGCCGUCGCCGCUGCUCGCUCUGGCGUCGUUGUCGUCGCUAACGCCUGUGCGAAGCGGGACGACAGCUCGCUCGUUGCCGAGGCCCGCUCGCCAUCAAUCCGCAUAGGCCCAGCUGUGUUGCCGUCCUCAUUGGAAACCACAACAUCCUCUUCUGUGGUCGAUGCGCACGCGCAGGUGACCUCUAAGCCAGGCGGCGCGGCAGGCGCGGGUGAGCAGCAGUCUCACAAAGCAGCAGCAGCUGCUGCUACUGCGGCAGUGGCCGCAGCGACCUCCGCGGGCGCCUGUAAAGCAAACAGCGGCAACGAGGGCGUCUCCCCUUUCUCGCGUGUGCACAUACGCAACACACGGAGCAGCAAGACGACGACGGCAGGUGGCGGCAGCGCUUCGCCGCCCUCGAUCACGGUCGUUCAAGCAGCCGCAGCAGCCGUCGUCACGAAGCAUGGAACUCCUGUACGCGCGAACGGGCCAUCGUCGCCGUCCAUGCCGUCGCCCUUGUCCGCUGCCGUCUCUCCUCGAGCAGCAGCACCUCGGCCCCUGUCGACACGCCGCCACAGCGCUGGGACGACUACUCCAGGUAUCAGCAGUCUGCCAGUCGCUCAGCCGCAGCCACAGCGCGCCGCUCCUCCCCCUCAGCCACGCCGCAGCCGGUCCGCCAGCAGUGGAUUGCGUGGCGCCGGCACGAACUCCAGCAGCGUGCACUUUCAGCCAGCGCCGACGCUGCGCAACGUUGGUAUUGGUGGCCCUUCACCUUUCGCGGCAGAGCAGCUGGCCAUGCCUCGCCGACCGCAGCCGCGGCUGGCAGUCGCCCCCACCGGCGACGGUGCGAGUGUGGCGGGGUGUGCACAGAGUGGGCAGACUAACGCAAAGGUCGCCGCGCCGCCCCUGCAGCUCGUCCGCCCAGCAGACCUUUACCGCGGUGCCACCACGGCCACCGGAACAGCGACUGCUGGAGUCGGCGGCCCGGCCUCGACAGCGAUGGCCGCAUCCCUUCUGCCUGGUGCCGCUGCCGCGCAGGACCGCCUACAGCUCCCACGUCGGUCGAGGCUGGCACGCACCCCUUCCGCGACAUCAGUGCAGCAGCGUCGCCGCACUCCGUCCGCAGGCAGUUUCGGUGGUGGUGGCAGCGCCCGCAAAGCAGGGCCGGUCGCGUCCUCGUCACCGCUCAAGCGUCGCACAUCCGUCAGCUCCCACAGCGACGACGCGGUGGGCCCUGUGGGAGGAUCAGCCGCCCGUGUCGCGUCACGGCGGCCGCGCUCGAGCACGCCGUCGGGCACCCUCUCCGUCUACACGACGCGAGGAGCGAGUGGGGGCAGAAGCCCGCUGGGGCAUAGUGAGCCAUCGAGAGACGGCGCCGGCGCGCCGGCUCUCGUCGUUGCCGGCAGCGGCACCGACACCGGUACAGCGGCGCCUCGCAGGAGCGUCGUGCGCAGCGGCUCUGCCCCCGUGCAUCAGCGCCGUCGCGAGAGCAGCAGCAGCCGUACCAGCAGUGCGGUGCCGGGUAGCGUAACCGACCAAGCUCCCCGCAUUGCAGACAGAUUGCGUGUGCCGGCGGUGGCGCCGUCCUCCCUUGUGCGCUACUCCUCGGUGGCCAGCGUGCACCAACGACGGUCACAUGCCACCAUCACCACCAUUCCGGUCAGCAACGCAGCGGCGGCCGCCUCGACGUCAGUGGCGGAGUGGAUCAGCUCCAUGAGUACGUCGUCGGCUCCGCGCCGCAGUCACAGCCGCGACGGCACCAGCGGCACCGCCCGCAGCAGUGCUGCAGGAAAGAGCGUGCGGUCUUCGCUGCACACCGCAGCGGCGUCGGCGGCCGCCAAAACCCCCAGUAUGGGCACGGCCCCCACUGCCCGCCGCCCCAAUGUCGGUGCCACCCGGCCCACCAUCAGCAGCACCGCCGGCGCCGGUGGCCCCCGCGCGCGCCCUGUGGUGUCCACGACCGCAGGAGCAGCAACACCAGCCGCCGCAUCACGAGCAGCAGGCCCGCGUCACCUUGCCGAUCGCAAGCCGAGAGACGGCGGCAGCAGUAACACCGUGUCGGUGAGUCAGGCAUCGAUGAUCUCGAUGGAGGAGAGCAAGGCGUUCCUGCAGGACUUUCAGCGCAUGAAUGACCGCGAGCUGGCCUUGUUUGGAACACUGCUCGCGACGGUGGCCAGCGAGCAGCAGAACCGCCGCGGCCUCGGCAUCACUGGCGAUGCUACUCCGAGUGCGGACAAGGCGAACGCGACUCGCCUGGUAGGCAACGCCGCGGAUGAUAGGAAAGCUGACAUUGCACCUCCGACGGGAGUCGUAGCAUCGGCAGAAGACGUGACGGUGUGGACAUGCAAGCGUGUCAUCUCCUUACCCUCCGACCAGCAGCAGCAGCAGCCAGGGCAGACGUCAGACAUGCCGCCACCGACGACGCCGGGAGAACCGGCGGUGACGGCGCAGCCUGCCUUGCAUGCCAACGAGGAGCUUAUCGUGCUGGUACGUCGAUCGCGCAGCCAUAGCGCCGGCCUUCACGCUCCGCCACGAUCAUCAACGUCGGGGCCGGAAGCGCCGCCGUCGCCGAAGCAGCAGCAGAGGCAGAAGCCAGCAAAACCACUACUGCAGCCGGACCAACUCACUCAACGGGCUGACGGAACCGAAGAGAAAGGCGGCGGCCACGUCGCGGCGAGCCCGCAUGCCUUUGUGCGGUCUCCACUGCGUCAUCCAUACAGCCAGCAGCAAGCACGAUGCACCGUAACGGACGCGGCUGCAGGAGACCGCGGCAGUAGCGGUGCUGUUGUGCUACACCGUGCGUCUCGAAGCCCGUCGCCGACGCCCCCGUCAGCGGCGAUCGCUCGCGGCGAAAAAGAGAAUGGCCAGCAGGCGCGCUCACUCCACUCGGCCAGCAGCUCCCCUGUGCCUGCAUCUCCGCUCUCGACGGCGGCUGGUGCGCGAGCGCUACAGCAGCAGCAGCAAGUGGGCGCAUUGGCGAGUGCACGCGCGGACAGGAGCAGUAGUGGUAAGCUGCGGCCACGUGAGGCGACGGACGUCAAUACGUCCGCGAACCGCACCGCUGCCGGCGCGGCGCGGAAGGUCGCAGUGGAAACCAUGGCGACGCCGGCGCGCAAGCCACACAAGGCACCGCCAUCCAGCAGUGGAGCAGCGGCGGCUGCGACCGCCGGGGCGGUGGGACGGAGAGCGGUGCGGAAUCGCUCGUCCUCCAGUGCUGUCGGACGCGUCCGAGGAGGCAGUCGGCGUCGCUGUGGUGCCAACGAUGGCGUGCACACGCCGAGUUCCCUCCAAGAGCACCAACGGCAGCUUAGCGUUGAGAGCUACACAGACAUCAUGCGCUGCUACAGCCCUAAGCGGCUGGAGGGGUUGCACGACGGCAACGGCGGUAGCGGUUGCGACGCAACCUUGAAGGAGGAAAGAAUGUCCAUCGAUGAGGGCCCUCGCGCCGCUGGUGCCUCCGCGUCGUCGCUGUCGUCCGCAGUGUCGGAGGCAGCAGCGCCGCUGGCUGCACUCAAGAGGGCGAAGGAACUGGCCGCGGAGCUGGCCGCCGCUGCGCGGGCGAGGACAGUAUCAGCGGACAAACCCUCCGUAGGAAUGAUUCCGACCUCCUUCACGUCGCCAGCGACCUUCUCCUCGGUUGACUCGCCUACGAGCGGCAGUUUGAGCAUGGGCCGCGCGAGUGGGGGCUACGCUACCGGGGCAGCGUCGGAAAUAUCCAGCGUCCGCGUUACGGCCGCUCAGCUGCAGCUUCUCAUUGACAGCUCACGCAGCCAAGCCAACUAUGCGCGCUAUCAACCGCUUUAGCAACACGAAGAAGUGUGUGUGUGCGAGUGGCGGUGCUGCUCGUGUACCAGUGUGUGAGUCUCCUUUCUUGUGGUUGGCUGUUGCAGAGGACAGAUGCUGCUCCCUCUCGCCAGCGCUGUCUAGUUUCAUGUAGUCGUGAUGAUGAUGGGAAGGGGAGGGGAGAGGGGGCGAGGUGCUUCUGCCUCCUCGCAUGGCAUGUUUUAUGUCGUAGCUAAAGACAAGCCUACACACACGCACAUCUGUAUCCCCCCCUUCUUCUUCCUCUUCUUCCCCCUCCCCACCUACGCAGGGACGGUGUCAUGUUGGCCGGCAUAGUUGUUUUGAUUCCUGUUUUCUCCGGCGGCGUUGUUGCCUCCACUCCCUCUGGAUGGGGCACGACGACGAUGCCGAUGCAGUGCAAUGGAUGGGAUGCGUCGGAUCCUCUUUUUUGCGCAGGUGUGUGUGUGCGUUCUUUGUGGUCGUGGUUGCAUGUUUCUUCAUUCCUUUUCCGUUAGAUUCCUCCCUGCACAGCCUCCUCCUCUUCCACCACCAACACAGCACACAGCACACAUACACAUACAUGCACGUCUCCUUUCCUCGCAUUGCCCUGUCUCUGUGUGUCGAGCGUCCGCUCGGCUACGCUGUUGCUUGUUGUUCUUAUUCUUUCUAGCGUGCGGUGCGAUCUCUUUAGAUGUGUCCGUGGAAGACAAUAUGGUGAUGUUAAUCGUUGGCGUGUUCAAUCGCCCUCCCAUUCUAUCCCCACUCCCCAGUCACCACUCACUUGGAUCGUUAGACCUCGGAUCUUCCUCUACAAGUCACCGCCCCUCGCCACCCCCUCGUCCUCGUACUCGCCUGUCUACUUGCCCGCACGGAAGGGCCCGCAGACAAGGCCCGUCGCCAUGUGUCUUGCAUGCAUCUGCGCAUGCUCCCCUUCUACGCCGGUUACGGCGGGUCCACAGCACACAGCUGCCACCCAUCCACGCACUCCUGUUCGUCCGACGCGCGCGCCUCCGCAUCGAUGCGUGCGCACCUAUGCGCUAGUGAUGUCGUGGCGUGAUCCUCCCACAGCACUCGAUGUGUGCUCUCCUCUCUCUAUCUCGAACUCACCUCAACGACAACCCGCCCACAUAUGCAACGCACGCACGUGCGCAUACCGUCAUCACGCAACAACACUCAUGUGGACUACACAG